AACGACUCUCGGCAACGGAUAUCUCGGCUCUCGCAUCGAUGAAGAACGUAGCGAAAUGCGAUACCUGGUGUGAAUUGCAGAAUCCCGCGAACCAUCGAGUCUUUGAACGCAAGUUGCGCCCGAGGCCAUCCGGUCGAGGGCACGCCUGCCUGGGUGUCACGCCAU
Molecule: ribosomal RNA, 165 nt
Filed under: Heliconia pendula
Lineage: Eukaryota; Viridiplantae; Streptophyta; Magnoliopsida; Zingiberales; Heliconiaceae
Description: 5.8S ribosomal RNA
Rfam family: 5.8S ribosomal RNA
About the family: 5.8S ribosomal RNA (5.8S rRNA) is a component of the large subunit of the eukaryotic ribosome. It is transcribed by RNA polymerase I as part of the 45S precursor that also contains 18S and 28S rRNA. Functionally, it is thought that 5.8S rRNA may be involved in ribosome translocation.
Source: RNAcentral